RNAcentral lists this ribosomal RNA (621 nucleotides) under uncultured bacterium. RNAcentral describes it as "bacterial SSU rRNA". It matches the Rfam family "Bacterial small subunit ribosomal RNA", at positions 202 to 842 of the family's 1533-position model. The record is from RNAcentral.
GAAAGAUUUAUUGGUAUAGGAGGAGUCUGCGGCACAUUAGCUAGUAGGUGAGGUAGAGGCUUACCUAGGCGACGAUGUGUAGCCGGUCUGAGAGGAUGAACGGCCACAAUGGAACUGAGACACGGUCCAUACUCCUACGGGAGGCAGCAGUGGGGAAUAUUGCACAAUGGGGGAAACCCUGAUGCAGCAACGCCGCGUGAGUGAAGAAGGUUUUCGGAUUGUAAAGCUCUGUUAGCAGGGAAGAGGAAGGACGGUACCUGCAGAGGAAGCCACGGCUAACUACGUGCCAGCAGCCGCGGUAAUACGUAGGUGGCAAGCGUUGUUCGGAAUAACUGGGCGUAAAGGAUGCGUAGGCGGUUAAACAAGUUAUAUGUUAAAUAUAUAGGCUUAACCUGUAGAAAGCAUAUAAAACUGUUUAACUAGAGUGCAGGAGAGGUAAGUGGAAUUCCUAGUGUAGCGGUGAAAUGCGUAGAGAUUAGGAAGAACACCAGUGGCGAAGGCGACUUACUGGACUGUAACUGACGCUGAGGCAUGAGAGCAUGGGGAGCAAACAGGAUUAGAUACCCUGGUAGUCCAUGCUGUAAACGAUGGGUACUAGGUGUGGGUUGUGAAUAACAAUUC